Molecule: long non-coding RNA, 3195 nt
Organism: Mytilus californianus (California mussel)
Lineage: Eukaryota; Metazoa; Mollusca; Bivalvia; Mytilida; Mytilidae
Exons: 5
Source: RefSeq, a predicted model, not a curated record
UUCUGAGAAGUUUCAUGGUAUUGGGAGUAAGACUCGGUGGCCUUAUACAGCAAAGAUAUAAGUUAGCAUUCAGUUUGUCCAUAAGGAUUGAGACUGGAAAUGGCAAUUGGAGCAGACUUUUAAGGAUGCCAUUACUGUGGCUGCAUGAAAUAAUUGUGUGAUCUAUUCUGUAAAAAGAAAAAAAAAGCAAUUGAAAAAUGUUAAAUAUGUUUUAAGAAAACAAAUUGUAAAGAUUCUCCAAUUUCUACAAGAAUGGAAGUUUGAAUUUCUAAUGAUCUUAAAAUUUAAAUUUAGGAAAAUUUCUUUUUAUCCCUUGCAUAAAAUGGCUAGAUCUUUUUAUACUUACAAACCUCAGAGGGAAUAUUAACACUUCUAGUGGUUUAGAAUGGAGGAUCUAAAAAAAAAGAAAAAAAAAAAACUUUUGUAAAAUAUUUCAAUUUAUUUUACAAGAAGCAUAGUUAAAGAACAUCUAGGGUGAAAAUGAAAGAGUACUAAAUGUUAUAUUUAAAUUUGGUGAUUUAAAAAAAAAAAUCAUAUUCUUAUUCCAUUAAAUUUUUGUUUUUGUUAAAAGACAGCAAGGGUGAAAAAUUGUGUUUAAUCCUUCAAAAAAUUAUUUAUAUUUUUUUAAAUGGAAAUUAAAAUUCUUUUUGAUUAAUUUUGCAAUAUUGAUGAUAAAUUUAAGAUGUAACAUAUAGCAAAAUUUGUUUAUAUUUAUUUACUUUCCAUCGCAAACAUGUGUCAAACGAAAGCCUAUCACUUGAGGUAUUCUGCCCAGUUGUAAUGAAGUCCCAAUUAGGGUCAAAUUUGGGGAAAGGUGAGGUAAUAAUACUGUUGAACUAAUCAUACUGGAAGAUCCUUCAGUGUAAGCAAUAUACUAGACAUUUUUUAAUCAACAUAAUUUAUGAUAUAUGUGUGAGGUUUUUUUUUAACUUGUCAGAUGUUUGCUAAUUUUAUUGACUAUUAUUUAGAGCUCUGUAAAUAAAAAAAAAUGUAAACAAAGUUCUAAAUAAUAGAUUUUUAUCAGGGGAGGAUCCUGGAUUUUUGAAAAGAGGGAGGGGCAUAUUUCCAUCAAAGUGAAGAAAUUUUUUUCAGAUGAUAUAAAACUUAAAAACGAUGUAUUUUCCAAACAAAGCCAGGCAUACAUCCUCUAUGCCAACCCCCUUGAAUCCACCACUGUUUACUGUGGGAGAAAUUAUUUGUCACUACUAUUAUUGAGUAUAUUCUCAAAAAAUGAUCAGUUGAAAGUGCAGGCAUCUGAUAUUUUUGAUGAACUGUAUUUUGUAAAAAUAAAUGGAAAACAAAUACAUUGACAAGUGAUUAAAUAAACUGUUUUAAACAAAAAUAACAUGAGACUUUAUGAACUAGUGUCUAAAGGUUUUGACAAAACUCAUAGAAUAGGAGGACAUUCAUUCACUAACAUUGAUACAAUGAUGACAGCCAUCUUGGCAGCCAGGAUAGCAGCUCUAAGGAAGAUUGUCAAUUCUUCAACCAAUUCUGAGGCUUUACCAUGAAAUAUUUGUGGUUGAUGUAAUGUAUUCAUGGUGUUGAAGUAAAACUUGGGAGAUCUGAUACUGCUAACAUUUUGGUAAAAGUGUAACUGCUGCUGCCUUAGUGUGUGGUCAGUCCUGUGGACAAUAAUUAUGGGUCAAUCCUGUGGAAGAUAAUAAUCAUGCAAACCAUAUGAUAAACUAGUGUUGUUUUGUUUUUACUAUUAUCAUCCAAACCAUAUGAUAAACUAGUGUUGUUUUGUUUUUACUAUUAUCGUCCAAACCAUAUGAUAAACUUGUUUUGUUUUUACUAUUAUCAUCCAAACCAUAUGAUAAACUUGUUUUGUUUUUACUAUUAUCAUCCAAACCAUAUGAUAAACUUAUUUUGUUUUUACUAUUAUCAUCCAAACCAUAUGAUAAACUAUUGUUGUUUUGUUUUUACUAUAAUCCUUAAAUGAUUUAUUCUCUAUUCUUUUAACCCCAUCCAGACCCUCAUACUUAUCAUAUUUAGUUGUCAUAGAUUAUCUUCAGUAUCAAAUGGCACUGUGUAUUUUUUAUGGGGGUGGGGGUUGUCAAAAUCAAAUUUUAAGUGUCCCCAUUGAAAUGAAUGGAUUUGUGAAACAAGAAAGCAAAAUUAAGCAGCUUCUAUCAUAAUUUUAUAAUGUGAAUGAUAAGAUGGUUUGCAUAUUUUUUAGUUUGUUUCACUGCUUGUAGUUGUCAGAUGCCAGCAUUGAAGAUUCAAAUUAAAAUGAAAAUUCAUUAUAUGAAAGUGUUGAAAAAAGGCCAAUAAUACUCUUUUACUGUAAAUUCAGAAAUUAAUGUGUGCAUUUAUUAUUGUAAAUUCUCGACAUCUGGCUAAGGUGUGAAAUUUAAUUACUACGAUUGCAAAGAUUUGAUGAAGGAAAUUUACUACUAAAAUUAUGAAUGCGACUGUUUAUUAUUGUGAACCAUACUGUCGCAUUUUUCGCAUUAAUAAAAACCACAAUAAUUUAUGAUUUUACAGUAAUUAUUAUUGGAGUAAUAGAUUAUGAGCCAACAGAUAAUAUUGCUCUCUUUCAUACAUUUCGUAAUGAAGAAAUUUGACUUUAAAGUUAUCUCCCUUCCUUAGAAAAAAUUUAGUACUCGUUCCCUGCAGAAUGCUCAAUUAUUACAAUUAGAUAUGUAAAUUGAACUGUACUACAAUAUACCCAAUCAGAUUUAGUAUUAGAAAAGGAUAGAAGUGCAAAAAGAUUAAGAAUCUUUGCAAAAUAACAAAACUUGGGGUUUAGAUGGAAAAAAUAAAAGGCAAUUAUAUUUUCUAGGUGAUAAGUUUUUUGCACAUAUUUAGAAGUGGAGUUUAUUUAAAUCACUCUAGGAAAUGGGUCAAAAACACCUCAAAUAAACAAAUUUAGUAUGUUUUUACCUUUUUAUUGUAGCUUGUACAAUAUUUUUGUUUGUUUAAGAUUUCUUUUAUAUUGUUUGAAAUGCCGUUUUUAAAAGAACAAGACAAACUCUGGAUUCAUGUUUUUUGUUGUUGAAUUCUAUAAAUUCUUAUACAUUUAGUAUUAAGUUAUUAUUGAUAUAUAUAUAUUAAUUAUUUCUUUAACAUUUAUAAUGAUUUUGCUUUUGAAGCAAAUUGUUUUGUUUCAUUUAGGUAUUGUGUUAUGUAAUGCAUUAUAAUGGUAUUUGAUGAAUACAUUGAUUGGUAAAUAAAAUUUAUUUUAGAAAA